ACAAAAAAAAGUUAGGUAUUAAACGUCCAAAUAAAAAAUAGAUGAGAUAUUUUUCGGGUUUUUUCCCUUAAAAAAAGAAAAGAAGUUUUAUACUAUUUCUUUCUCUCUUUGUUUCUUCUUCUUCCGUAAGCUUCUUCAUCUUCUUCCAACUCUCUGUCUCCUUCUUCCUCUCUUUAUGCUUCUGUACAACUAUUGAAUGUAGACCUACAGAUUCUUCUCUAAAUAUUCUUCUCUAAAUAUUGAAUUUAGACCUACAGAUUCUUCUCUGUAGGUCUUCACCACAUUUCUGUAAUGAGCAUUGUUGACAAGACACGUCGGCGAUGGUGGUAGCUUCCCGUUUGCAGGAGCUUUGCACAAGUCUCAGAUUUUCUCCACUACUAUCUAUUUGCCUUGUUCUUGUGGUAUGGUUUGUGUACUUCAUUGUGGGUUUUUUAUUUAUUAAUUUGAUUGCUUUGAACUUCGGAUGUUGUAUUAUUUGGGAUGUUGUAUGUUUUACAAUAAUAUUUUAUGUUUCGUUUAUUUGCUA
This 526-nucleotide long non-coding RNA is filed under the name Arabidopsis lyrata. RNAcentral's name for it is "long non-coding RNA (ALYR_LNC001908)". Lineage: Eukaryota; Viridiplantae; Streptophyta; Magnoliopsida; Brassicales; Brassicaceae. The record is from RNAcentral.